UGGGAAUAUUGGGCAAUGGACGCAAGUCUGACCCAGCCAUGCCGCGUGCAGGAUGAAGGCGUUNUGCGUCGUAAACUGCUUUUAUACAGGAAGAAACGACUCUUGCGAGAGGCAUUGACGGUACUGUAUGAAUAAGCACCGGCUAACUCCGUGCCAGCAGCCGCGGUAAUACGGAGGGUGCAAGCGUUGUCCGGAUUUAUUGGGUUUAAAGGGUGCGCAGGUGGUUUAUUAAGUCAGUGGUGAAAGACGGUCGCUCAACGAUUGCAGUGCCAUUGAAACUAGUAGACUUGAGUAAAGUAGAGGUGGGCGGAAUUGAUAGUGUAGCGGUGAAAUGCAUAGAUAUUAUCAAGAACUCCAAUUGCGUAGGCAGCUCACUUGGCUUUUACUGACACUCAUGCACGAAAGUGUGGGUAUCAAACAGGAUUAGAUACC
RNAcentral lists this ribosomal RNA (432 nucleotides) under Bacteroidetes bacterium SCGC AAA024-E18. RNAcentral describes it as "bacterial SSU rRNA". It matches the Rfam family "Bacterial small subunit ribosomal RNA", at positions 356 to 786 of the family's 1533-position model. Lineage: Bacteria; Pseudomonadati; Bacteroidota. The record is from RNAcentral.